Molecule: ribosomal RNA, 288 nt
Filed under: uncultured bacterium
Lineage: Bacteria
Description: partial 16S ribosomal RNA
Rfam family: Bacterial small subunit ribosomal RNA
Source: RNAcentral
CCUACGGGACGCAGCAGUGAGGAAUAUUGGUCAAUGGGCGAGAGCCUGAACCAGCCAAUUCUCUUUCUUUCUUACUGCCCUAUGGGUUGUAAACCUCUUUUGUCGGGGAGCAAAAGCCGGACGUGUCCGGCUGUGAGAGUACCCGAAGAAAAAGCAUCGGCUAACUCCGUGCCAGCAGCCGCGGUAAUACGGAGGAUGCGAGCGUUAUCCGGAUUUAUUGGGUUUAAAGGGUGCGCAGGCGGAUUUUUAAGUCAGCGGUCAAAUCGUGGGGCUAAACCCCAUCCAGCC